This 324-nucleotide ribosomal RNA is filed under the name uncultured eukaryote. RNAcentral describes it as "partial 18S ribosomal RNA". It matches the Rfam family "Eukaryotic small subunit ribosomal RNA", at positions 1470 to 1796 of the family's 1831-position model. The record is from RNAcentral.
CCCUUAGAUGUUCUGGGCCGCACGCGCGCUACACUGACACAGGCAACGAGCUUUCCUUUACCGAAAGGUAUGGGUAAUCUUUUGAAACUGUGUCGUGCUGGGGAUAGAUCCUUGCAAUUUUUGAUCUUAAACGAGGAAUUCCUAGUAAGCGCGAGUCAUCAACUCGCGUUGAUUACGUCCCUGCCCUUUGUACACACCGCCCGUCGCUACUACCGAUUGAAUGUGCUGGUGAAAAGUUCGGAUUGGGAAUAGGAGACGGCAACGUAUCCUGUUUCUGAGAAAAUCUUUAAACCCUCCCAUUUAGAGGAAGGAGAAGUCGUAACA